Long non-coding RNA from Polyodon spathula (Mississippi paddlefish), 752 nucleotides. RefSeq lists it as uncharacterized. The record is from RefSeq and is a predicted model, not a curated record. The transcript has 3 exons. NCBI's taxonomy places the organism in Eukaryota, Metazoa, Chordata, Actinopteri, Acipenseriformes, Polyodontidae.
CCUCAGUGCACGCAAUGAGCGUAAAUGAACGCUAGAUGGCACCAAAGAGUAAGGAAAGAAGGUACGAUAAGAUACACAAGUAAGAUAGAAUGCAUACUGAAUCUGCGCCAUUGACCCUGCUUGGCAAAUGGAAGCCUGAAAAACACAGAUCUAUCGAGGAGAUUGACAUGGUGUCUCAUUAUAAGAGAAAGCUGAUCCUAUGCUAAGAUGUUUUUAAAAAAGCGAAAUCUUUUCUUCAAAGAAGAAGCGGACAUGUGUGAAGAAUGAAGAUGGCACGACUUUGAAUGUGAUCUUAAGGGAACGCGUCACAAUGUAAGAUGAAUUCGGAAGCCGUUUCCAGAUUUUAUUGACGCUGUAAAAGACAAUAAAACAAUCCAGUAAGUGAGUCGACGGGACCAACUCUGUCUCAGAGUAAGGGUUGCAAACACAGGCAGAGGACUUGCAAAGGAGCGGAUAAGGAGUACAGUAAAGAAUACCGUGAAUGUUGCAUCUGGCAUCUGGUCAGUAAGGUAUGAAAUGAAUUAUUCUAUGUUCCUACUGUUACUGUAAAAAAAAUUAAAAAUUAAAAAUAUAGAGCUUUUUUUGUUUUUAGAAGAGCCAUAUUAGUCCAGAGAUGACAGACAAAGAGAAGGAGAUGCGACCAUUUUUAUUGGACAAACUAAAUAAUAAUUCCACAUGCUUGCAAGACCUCAAAAGUCUCAUCUUCACGUGAAAGUAGGAGAGAGAGAUACUCUCUUAAUUUGUACUUGUAG